UCGAUUAUUAAACCUAAGUAAUGCGCCGUCCCCUCACUCACGCGGCCGAUCCCAUUUUGCGCCAAAACCACCGCCGAUAUCCUCACCUCUCUCGAGCCUCUCCCUCUGGCGACCCUCAUCUCCCCAAACCCAACGUCGACCUCUCUUCUCCGUUGGGCCACAGCCGCCGAGCCACGGCCACUGGCUUCUCCUCCUUACACGAGCACCUCCUCGCGGUUUCCUCACCCAAUCGCCGCCUGCCCUCAGCACGAGAGAUCGCCGCUGCCGUGGUUCGCCCUCAUCCGAUCGCCGCUCUUCAUCCGCCGGUCUCUCCUCCUCCGCCGGACUCUCUCCUUCCCUUGCCCUCACACGAGCACCACAGCCACCUCAGCACUCGAUUGUGACGGUGUUGCUCAUCCCGGCGUCAGCCGAACCCUAGGUUGGGGGUGAACGUCCAGCCGGUUGCUCCUUCCCCCCUCAUGCCUUGAUGUCAAAACGCCACCGUCGAUCUCAUCUUCGCUGGUCUCCACAGCUGCUGGACCUAGGUUCCAGCCGGAGAGGAAGUUGUGAACACAAGCCUUGCUUUGGCCAUGGGUUUUUGCAGCCUUGCUCGGGCCACAGUAGCUUCACCAACAGCUAGUCCUGAUGGGUAUCCCAGCUGAUCAUCAUGGGUGCCACCGUAGAGGAAGCUCGAUGUUUGAUUUAGGUAACAGGUAGAUGAGUCACGGAUGCUUGGAGAGAUGUCGACUGCCAGUCCUGUGUCCUGCGUUAUAUCGGUUUUAUCUCCGCUUUACUUGUAUUUUUAGUAUACAACAGUUUUAAUAUUGUAUCAACUGGUCUGUGUUUGGAGUUUGAUUCAUGGUGUUUUGCUUUCGUGAUCUUGUGGUUGUGUAAGCCUAAUUAGCUAGUAAACUUUACUUGUGGAUUGUGGGUUU
Molecule: long non-coding RNA, 914 nt
Organism: Zingiber officinale
Lineage: Eukaryota; Viridiplantae; Streptophyta; Magnoliopsida; Zingiberales; Zingiberaceae
Exons: 2
Source: RefSeq, a predicted model, not a curated record